Molecule: ribosomal RNA, 868 nt
Filed under: uncultured eukaryote
Lineage: Eukaryota
Description: SSU rRNA
Rfam family: Eukaryotic small subunit ribosomal RNA
Source: RNAcentral
GAAUCGCAUGGCCUUGCGCCGGCGAUGGUUCAUUCAAAUUUCUGCCCUACCAACUUUCGAUGGUAGGAUAGUGGCCUACCAUGGUGGCAACGGGUAACGGGGAAUUAGGGUUCGAUUCCGGAGAGGGAGCCUGAGAAACGGCUACCACAUCCAAGGAAGGCAGCAGGCGCGCAAAUUACCCAAUCCCGAUACGGGGAGGUAGUGACAAUAAAUACUGAUACAGGGCUCUUUUGGGUCUUGUAAUUGGAAUGAGAACAAUCUAAAUCCCUUAACGAGGAACAAUUGGAGGGCAAGUCUGGUGCCAGCAGCCGCGGUAAUUCCAGCUCCAAUAGCGUAUAUUAAAGUUGUUGCAGUUAAAAAGCUCGUAGUUGAACCUUGGGCCCGUCCUGCCGGUCCGCCUCACCGCGAGUACUGGUCCGGAUGGGCCUUUCUUUCUGGGGAAUCCCAUGGCCUUCACUGGCUGUGGCGGGGAACCAGGACUUUUACUGUGAAAAAAUUAGAGUGUUCAAAGCAGGCCUUUGCUCGGAUACGUUAGCAUGGAAUAAUAGAAUAGGACGUGCGGUUCUAUUUUGUUGGUUUCUAGGACCGCCGUAAUGAUUAAUAGGGAUAGUCGGGGGCGUCAGUAUUCAGCUGUCAGAGGUGAAAUUCUUGGAUUUGCUGAAGACUAACUACUGCGAAAGCAUUCGCCAAGGAUGUUUUUCAUUAAUCAGGGAACGAAAGUUAGGGGAUCGAAGACGAUCAGAUACCGUCGUAGUCUUAACCAUAAACUAUGCCGACUAGGGAUCGGGCGGGGUUUCUAUGAUGACCCGCUCGGCACCUUACGAGAAAUCAAAGUUUUUGGGUUCUGGGGGGGGUAUGGUCGCAAGGC